This 368-nucleotide ribosomal RNA is filed under the name uncultured bacterium. RNAcentral's name for it is "partial 16S ribosomal RNA". It matches the Rfam family "Bacterial small subunit ribosomal RNA", at positions 338 to 723 of the family's 1533-position model. The record is from RNAcentral.
CCUACGGGAGGCAGCAGUGGGGGAUAUUGCACAAUGGGGGGAACCCUGAUGCAGCGACGCCGCGUGGGGGAAGAAGCGCCUCGGCGCGUAAAGCCCUGUCAGCAGGGAAGAAAAUGACGGUACCUGAAGAAGAAGCCCCGGCUAACUACGUGCCAGCAGCCGCGUUAAUACGUAGGGGGCAAGCGUUAUCCGGAUUUACUGGGUGUAAGGGGGGCGCAGACGGGGAUGCAAGCCAGGUGUGAAAGCCCGGGGCCCAACCCCGGGACUGCUGUUGGAACUGCGUGGCUGGAGUGCAGGAGGGGAUGGCGGAAUUCCUGGUGUAGCGGUGAAAUGCGUAGAUAUCAGGAGGAACACCGGUGGCGAAGGCG